UAAAAACCACCUCAUUACCGUUCCAGAAGUAUCCAAAGUCUGCAAAACCCACAAUUCUCCCAGUUAACUUCUUAUUCUUCUUCACUAUUCACCCAGGGGAAAAAAUGAGCAGCCGUGCAAGCCGAACUCUUUAUGUAGGCAAUCUUCCAGGAGAUAUUCGUCAGAGAGAAGUGAAAGAUUUGUUUUACAAGUAUGGGCCCAUUGUCGAUGUUGAUUUGAAAAUCCCACCAAGACCUCCUGGCUAUGCUUUUGUGGAGUUUGAAGAUGCUCGUGAUGCUGAAGAUGCUAUUCGUGGUCGUGAUGGGUAUAACUUUGAUGGAUGUCGCCUACGGGUUGAGCUUGCUCAUGGUGGUCGAAGGCAUUCAUCUCCUAGUGACCGUUAUAGCAGUUAUAGCAGUAGCAGUGGAAGUCGUGGACCUUCCAAACGUUCUGACUAUCGUGUUCUGGUUACUGGACUACCAUCUUCUGCUUCAUGGCAAGAUCUCAAGGAUCAUAUGCGUAAAGCUGGGGAUGUUUGCUUUUCUCAAGUAUUUCGUGAUCGUGGUGGUAUGACGGGAAUUGUUGAUUACACAAACUAUGAUGAUAUGAAUCGUGCUAUCAGGAAACUUGAUGAUUCUGAGUUUCGAAAUGCAUUUUCUCGGUCUUAUGUACGGGUAAGGGAGUAUGAUUCAAGGAGAAGCUACUCCAGGAGUCCUAGUCGUAGCCCCUAUGGCAGAAGCAGGAGCUGGAGUCGAAGCCGAAGCCGAAGCUACAGUGACCGGAGCAGGAGCAAGUCUCCUGGAGCGAAAUAUUCUCAUCGAUCUCGGUCUGCAUCUCGUAGUAGAUCCGUUUCUUCAAGAUCUCGUACAGGAUCAUCUCCCCGACCUUCAAGUGACCUGGAAUUGGAUGUUAGGAACAUGAUGUGUUGUGGUGCUUAUAUACUUGCAUCUCUUUGGUGGUUGAGUGCUAGAUAUGAUGAAGUGUGGAUGGGUCGCAAUUUAAAGCUGGAUUAGUCAGAUCUAAGUGCUAUUGGUACCAUCCCACACAUCAGCUGUAUAAAUGAAACUUGAAAAACUACAUCAUCUGUUCCCCAGGACACGGUGAUUCAGAUGGGGAGAGGUGUGUACAGAAGGGAGGAUGUUCUUAACUUUGGCCACUUAUUCGAUGGUACUCUGAGAUCUAUAUUGGUACUAUCCCACACAUCAGCUGUAUAACCGAAACUUGAACAAACACAUCACCUGUUCCCCCAGGACUUGGUGAUACAGAUAGGGAGAGUUUAUAUCUCCUCUUCUCGGUUAUGGAUGGGGAGGAUGUCCUUAACUUUGGCAACUUACUCCAUGGUGCUUUCUAGUGAUUUUUCUUUCUUCUACAUGUUGAUUUGGUUCUCAUAAUCUGCUGGGAAAUGUUCAUUGACAAACGUGAGGUUGUAUUUUAUCAUAUGGUGAUUUGAACCUAUUUUUUGAAGUUGCUUCUAAAGAUUGGUGGUAUUUUGUAUUUCUGUUUUUGUUGCCGGACUCUGAGGUGGAAAUGGCACCUGAGGCUUUUGGAUCAAGGAUUAUAAUGGGUUCUUGUGGAUAAUUGGGUUGUUUCUGGAAAUUUUUUGCAGAUCCCUAUCCAGAUCAAGAUCUCCACUUGCAUCUUCUCCUAGCAAGCGAUCAGGUAGAGACCUCAGCAAACGUGGCAGGAGCAGGAGCAGGAGCAGGAGCAUUGGAUCUCAAUCGCGUUCAUCUUCUGUGAGAUCUGAUAGAAGCCAAUCAAUGGACUCGAGGGACCGCUACUGAAGAUUGUCAUUGAACUGUAGGAGAGCUAUAAAAAUACUAGAGUUAGCAUACAAAUACAAUUGCAUUUCAGACUAUUGCUGGUUGAUUAUUUGAUCACAUUUUUCUCCUAGUCAUUAAAACGGAUCUGAAGAAUGUUCAAACUGAUCUUGGAGAGGUUACUCAAACUGCUGUUUGGAUAAGAGUUUUUAUACUCCUCUUCUGUUUUUAACUUUCCUGGUCUGUGGUAAUAGUUGUUCAAUUUUUAUAAUUUCAGGAUGAAAAAGCGGUGAAAUUCUACCGUUGCUUGUA
RNA transcript from Jatropha curcas, 2048 nucleotides. It is a transcript of the gene named SERINE-ARGININE PROTEIN 30, with no coding region annotated. Lineage: Eukaryota; Viridiplantae; Streptophyta; Magnoliopsida; Malpighiales; Euphorbiaceae. The record is from RefSeq and is a predicted model, not a curated record.